Non-coding RNA from Cricetulus griseus (Chinese hamster), 8359 nucleotides. The record is from RefSeq and is a predicted model, not a curated record. Lineage: Eukaryota; Metazoa; Chordata; Mammalia; Rodentia; Cricetidae.
AUGCCCAUCCACAGGAGACAUUCAGUGUUCUGCCCUUGGGGUUAGCAGUCGCAAUUGAGUGCCAGGACUUUUCAUUUCAAAACCCUACAGUGGUCACAGAUGCUCUCUGAGCGGGCAUUAGCAUCUCCCUCUUUGCAUGGUGGCUGGCUUGUUCUGCUUGGCAUGUUGUCGGGUGUGGGGAAGUAUAAAUGGUCAUGAAAGAUGUUGAGAUAUAAUAAUGGUUUAUUCAGUAAUUCAUAUUUUCAAGGGAUGGUUUACAGCCCACUGAAGGAGCAUCCUGGGAAACAUACUGGUUUGGUUUAGUUACAGGAGAAACACACUGACUUGGUUUAGUUUUAGAAGCAUUCUCAGGAUUGUGAUGUACAAACAGAACUCAUCAGAAAAAUUGUAGAAAGCUGUGUGAUCUCAGUUUCAUCUUGAAAAGUGAGCAAUGCCUUAUUUCUGGAAUAGUUUUUAAAAUGCAAAAGGCAGCAACAAUGUGUUGGAUGUCUUUACAGUUGCCAUGGGGAAGACCUCGACGACGACUUAGAAUGGACUUACAUUGAACAGGACACCCUCUGACUGUUAGUGGCUAAGUAGGGAUGGAGGUGGCAGUCUCUUCCUGCUCACAAGGCCUGUCUCUGCUGCAGGGAGCUGGCUCCAUGGCUGUAGCUCAUAUGCUGCUGGUGGAGCAUGUAGUCCUGCUUCCAGAAUGCCAGUUCUGGAUGCUGAGGCUGUCCCCCAGGUCUCCCAUCUUUGCUCAGGGCACUGCGGUGGCUCCGUUCUAUGGGUACUUUACUUGCUACAGCCACAAUGAAGAAGGUGAGCUGGGUCGGGCAGGAGCAGUUGCAAGCCACACACCUCAUGCUUCUGUAGUGAUCUUCAGGCUGCUCUGUAGUGCUGGCUUUAAAUGUCAUCUUUGACAGCAUUACACAUAGAUGAGUGCACAGAGAGGCUAUACAACCUGUUCAAGAUCUCAUAAAUAACUUGCUGAUAAGGAGUAUGACAUGAAAAUUGUGCUUGUUCCUCCUAACCCCUAGUUCUGCUUGGUAGGAUGCAGCCUCCUUGGGCUGCGUUAUAGUAUACACUCGACUCCAAGGACGGUGCCCGACACAUGGUAGGUACUCAUUGUAUGUUUCUGCCAUGUCAGUUGUGAGGCACUCUCACACCCCUUCCACAGCCUCUCUGGGAAACUGAUACCCUGAGCAUCAAGUCACAUGGUCAUCAGAGCAGAGAUGUUGGACCUACCCAUUCUGCCAUCCCUAAGACUCCCAAGCCCCGCAGGUUCCAUGUUGCUAUGGAGAUGCUAGGCAGGUGAAGAGUAGUGCGGGGCAGGUGAAGGAUGAUGCUGACGAGCAUGGCAGGCCUCCAGCCAAAGCCCAUUUGUCCUGGUGACCCUGAGGAUGGAUGGCUGUUUGUACAAUGGCAGAUAAAUAACAGAAAUAGUGACAUCAUGUUCCUGUCACGUGAAGUGAGCUGAAAACCCAAGUGGGGGUAGGAGUGUGACAGGGAGUGCGUAGACCGCCACCUCCUUCCUUCCUUCUUCACUCCUCCAUAGCUUGAGAGGAGGAGAGGAAAUGAGGGAGAGAUUUCUCUCCUUGUUUUGCAUUUUGUUCCUUUGGCUUCCUGUCUGCAUUGCUCUUACUCUUCCUGGGCAUGGUUAGCCCUCUGCCUCAGACUGCUUGAAUGUCAUAACUUUUCUGCAGAAAGAAAGUAAAGCCCAGAUUAGCCAUGUGCCCCACCCCCGCCCCACCAGCCAGGCCUCUCCCUAGGAAGUAGUAUUUAUGUGAGCCCCAGCUCAGUGGCCUCUCGCCUAGAGAACAAGGCCUGAUUCACAUCCUCCCUACCCCUGCUCCACCCCACCUUCUCAUUUCUACUCCCAAGGCCAGCGGCACCUAACCCCCACUGUGCUGACCCUUCUCUUUAGCCACCUCUGGCCCAGUGCUCGCCUGGUCUCCACUUUGGAUGACCUCCAGACGUCCUCCCAAGGGCCUGAAGAACCUCUAUUUGCAGUGAUCCAUGUCCCAAGUUACCUCCACAGGGCUCCUAAGACUUAUCCAGCGACCCUGCUAACAUUAGCUCUUGUCCCUGUGUGAACCAGAAACCCUGGUUGCUGGCCCAGACCCAGUGGUGGAAUCUGGGUGCCCUUCUGCAAGGCUCCAGCUCUGCUGGGAGUUGACAUAAAGAAGGCCUGUCACAGAAGGCCCCCAGCUCUGGCCAUGACAGGCCUCAACUCACACCACCAGCUGUAUAUUUUGUCUAUUCUGUGUAUUUUGUAUAUACAGUGGCAGACUCUGGGCCCAGGAAAAGUGUGUACUGUAGAGUGGCAUCAGAUUCCAUUUCUUUCAAAGUGGCUUUCCUAUAGCAGCUGGAAGAAAAAGCGCCAUUGAUGGGAAAUAUUUUUGCUUUUCAUGGAUUUGUUUUCCUGUCUUUUGCUUUAUUUUAUGAAAUUGGCCUUUUGCUUAAACAGCUUUUUUGAAGAUUUGUUCCUUCAAAGAGUAAAAAUAGUCAACCUUAUAGUUUGCUUGUGUUCUCUAGUUUAUGAAAUGUGAUUUCAAGUGUGACCUGACUUAGUCUUUAGCCGGCCCUGUGUGGACCGUGCAGUUGCUUACUAUGGAAGUGAUACCCGAGGCCCAAGAGCUGGAGGAAGUGCCUUGCCGGGCUCUGUGCAGAGCUCCUUCAUCUUUGCACCUCAUGGCCUGUCUUUCUGAUUCUGCUGACCACUUCCUUACAUGUUGCCCCUGCCUUUCCUUCAGCACAGACCACAACCCACCAGGAGAAAGCUGCUACCAGGCUUGGCAGGUACCAUGUGUCUUCACCCUGGCUCCAGCCCCAUCUGCUGGCCCGACUUCCUGAGGCCUAUAGCCUUUCUCCUCUUGGCCCUGUGACUCUCCAUCCUGGGUGGAUAGCAUGGAGUGCCUUCUGUCUGGGCUCCUCACUUCCGACUCUUGCUGGGGAGUCCCAGACAUCCUCCUUGGUAUCCAUCCUAGCUUACCAGCAGUUAUCUGUCUCUACCAGGUGACUCUGCAGCCUCUCCUGUGAUGGGAAGGACUUGUUAGGAAGAACACCAUCUAGACCAGAGACACAGAAAGGUCAUUAUGUCAGAGCAGGAGUUGGAACUGCCCCUCCCCUCCCUGUAUCAUCAUCUCCUUGUUGUCUUGUUAUUAUGGCUUGUUACCAUGUGUGAAGUUGUGGCACCGUGCAGACUCUGAGGGUGCCAUGAGUCUCUCUCUCAGUGUGCUGCAGUAGCUUUGCUGUUCUUUUAUGUGGUCUGUUCUCACUAUGUGGUCCAAGCCCAAAGUCCCCCUGCCUGCAUCCCCAUUGCAUCAAUUACAGGUGUGCCUCUGUUUCUGCUCUCAGAAAUGCUGUUGAUGGAUUUCUUAGAGAUGCUUCUCCCAUGAAAGCCUGGUGUGCCAGGGUUGCCUGAGCUGGUGGAGACAGGCAGAGCACAUGCCCAGAAGAGUCACUCAGGCUCAGGGUCAGGCUAGGUACUGUCAUGGGUUCUCUUUCCGCUUAAUGUGUUUUAACCAGAGGCUGCAAACCUGAGAAAAAAAUUACUCUGCUUUUUCAAAGAUUCAUGAAAGAUGAGUAGGCCUUCAUUGCUAACUGAAGGGUACAGUAAGAACCUUGAUGGCAAAAGACAGAAACAUGCCUAGAAUUUGGCAUGUGGCCACGCUAGCCAGUAUGAGACUGGACUCUGGAGAAGUCAGUUAAACAUCACAGUUCCAGAGUCUAAUAGAUUCCUGCACCAACAGCGUCUCAAAUUAUUUGACAAAGUGUGUGCUUCUGAUAUUAUCAAGAUCUCAACAUGAAGUCACUUUGUUUGGUCAUUCUGAAUACGCCCUGUGUGACAGUGUCAGUUGUCAACUUGACAAGACUCUGGAAUCACCUGGGAGACCAGCCUCCGGGCAUGCCUGGGGGGAAUUGUCUUGAUUAUGACUAUCUGUCUAAAUUGUGAGCAGCGAGGACACUCCCUGGGCAGGGGAUGUGUGUGAAAAACAGAAGGCAAGCUAAACCCUAGCAUGCAUGCACUCACUGCUCCUUUCUGACUUUGGACAUGAUGUGACCAGCUGCUUCCAGCGCCUGCUGCCUUGACUUCCCUCAGCUGUGAACUCAAAUCCUCCCUCUCAAGUUGCUUUUGUCAGAGUAUUUUAUCACGGCAACAGCAAAAGCAGCCAAGACAGCCUGUAACCUGACAGUGAUAAAGCAAAGUGUGAGUGACAGAGUGAGUACAGUGGAGUGCCACUUCCUUCCGUCCCACACCCUCCUAGUCAGCCAGUGCUCUGCCAGCAGCUGCUUGGCAUCCAUCUCCUCCCAACACCUCAGAAGACCUCUGGUGUUUAGUUUCCAGAGUCAAGACUGCUGCCAUUUCCCGGGUUUAAGCUGCCAACCAGAAAUCCUAGGUGGCAGGUUGGCACAGGUGCUCGCAUGCAGAGCCCCCAGGAGUUAGUCCUAGCAGUUGUGCUCACUCUGGUGCUUCUGGAAACGUAGGUACUUAGGACAGAGCUCAAACAGUGCCACCCGCUUCAAUUGCAAAAGGGCUUUAUGGCACAUAGAUGUGCCACACACUAUAGGAAGCGCAUUUGACUGGGAGGGCACACACAGAGCCCAAAUCUGGUGUCUUGCUUUGUCACUUUCCACCUUACUGAAGGGUACAGUAAGCCUUUGACACGGGUGUCUGUCUCUGAAUCUGGGGCUAAGCUGGUGGCCAACAAGCCCAGCAACUCUCCUGUCUCCACCCACCCACAGUGCUGGCAUUACAGGCAUGUUCAUGGCCACUUCCAGCUUCUUAUAUAGAUUCUGGGGGGGUUGAACUCUGUUUUCUGUGUUCAUGCUGCCAGUGUUCUUACCCACUACGCCACUCCACAGCCCAUAGAAGUUUCUUUGUACCACCCAUUUGACAGUUUCCAUUAAAUAAUCGCUUUUGAUCUAUGAAGGUAGCCUACGAGGUCUCCUUUAGCAGAGAUUGGAAGGACCUGUAAUUCCCUACCAGCUCUCAUGGUAAAUUAUAACGUGUAGUUUACUAGAGAAGGCUGUCUCUUUAUUCCAAUGGGUUUGUGCAAGGACUCCUCAGUUUCUACUUAACCCUUCUCUGCCAGGGUCCUCUAGAGCCAGUGGUAUACCUAGGGUUGUUCUGCCAGGCUUGUUGCAAGAGACACUUAGCCCUGGACUUUGGUUGUGUUAUUCCCAAAGUUUGCACGAACAGCAAGCAGCUGACAGUGUUUUACCUGGAGUCACCAGCUCUGAGUGAGCAGUGAGGUAUAUCAGGUUGAUGAUGCCCUCGGACAUACAUCACACAAGGCCCAGGAGCUGCAUUAGUGACUUUCAUAAGGCCUGAUGGCCUGAUGAGGUGUGCCUCCCCUUCCUUCCAGGGGCUGCUGUAAUGCCUUGUGACUGACUGGAGGGCUGCCACACUAGCACUGGCUUCACAGGAGUGGCUUGUCUAGGAAACAUUUUUAAUCCAAGUUGUCCAUUCUCUUUGAAGUAGCCUGUCUUCCCCUCUUGUCUGGAUUUGCAGCCAAGAAGGUGGUUAAACUGUUUGCCUGGAACAAGUGUUGCCUAACUUGGGAGGUUGGGAUCCCUUUCCCUUUUAAAACCAAGUAGUCCAAAGAGCUUUGGCUUAUAUGGAAAAUGUGGUGUUAAUUUUUACUGCAUUGGAAAUUAAAACUGACAAAAUUAAAAAUACUUAAGUUUUUAUUUUAAAAUAACUGUAAGAAACUCACCAUAUAAAUAUACAGUGAAAAACAGAUAUUUUCCAAAAUAAAAUGAGUGAUGAAUAUGACAUUGUGUUAUAGUUUUUAAAACCUCUUUCGUAGCUUACUUAAUAGAGUCAACUGUAUUAUUAUGUUACCUUUAUUUAGCCUGUUAUAGUUAUAUUCUUUUAAGUAAACAAAGGAAAGGCUGACAUUAUAUGGAUCUGUAGUUGAAAAAAGGGAGGUGGACCUCACAAACUCUAAAUAGACUCCCAGGAUCCUCUGGCUGUAAUUGAGAAGCAUGGGGCUAGAAGAAGGGCAACUAGUGAGAUGGUGAGAUGGCUCAGCUUGCCUCCAAGCCUCACAAACCCCAGUUUUGUGCCAGACCUACAAGGUUAGAAGAGAGGACUGGCUCCUCCAGGUUGUCCUCUGACUGUCACAUGUAAGAUGUGCAUACCUUUGACUCACCUAAUAAAAAAGUAAAUAUUUUUUCAUAGGGAAGAGGAAUAUUCAUGCUGGAAGGGACUGUCGGGCAGGGUGUGCUCCAGUCUGCCUGGGAACCAGUGAGGGAACAGAGUGAGGGGGAUGCUGCCUGCCUUUGAUAAUCCAAGGAAACAAUACUCUUGGCCUAUUUAGUACAGAAGCCGUCUGAAAGUGGCUGCUGAGUCCUUGAAAUGUGAUAAGCCCAAGUGAAGGUGUGCUGUCAUUCAAAAGAACCCGCUGGACUUCAUCGACAUGAAAAGAGAGGGCAAAAUGCCUUGAUGUUUUCGUAUUGGUUACAUACUGUGUUGAAAAUAUUGUAUAUGUUAAACAAAACAUCGUAUUCAAAUUAAUUCAACCUGUAACUUUAAAAACAAAAAUGAUUGUGUAUGCACGUGUUGUGUAUGUGUGGCUAGGUGUGCCAUGAUGCAUGUGUGGAGAUCUGAGGACAGCUUUGUCAAGUCAGUUGUCUCUUUCCACCCAUGCGUGGAUUCCUUAGGUCAUCAGGCUUGCCUACCCAUUGAGCCAUCUUGUUGGCCCCACUUGUAACUUUUCAAUAUGGCAGCUAGGUGGUGUUAAGUUCUCUUUAUAUCCUGCAUCAUAGCCAAGAGCUUAACAAAAGUGCCUUGCCUAUUCUGUUCAUGUCCACACAUUCAGUGCUGUACAUAGCGAAACAAGGGCUUAGAGAUUCCAGGAAGCCUCACUCAGAGGCCUCACCCAGCCUGAAGGACAAAUCUGGGAGUGGGAAAUGAGUGUGCCUAUCUCCAGAUUAAUGGAGGGUGUUUUUGUGUGCACUGCUGCUUACUUCUCCCUAACAGUAGGGCGACUGUACAUAUCCUCUACUCUGCCGAUGCUGUCCGGUAACCAUGGCUAGCAGUUGCUGUGGCCCAGAUGUACUUGCUGCCUUUGAUGACCAGCCAGACCAUGGUUCUCACCUGUGUCUAUGCUGGUCCCAUGCACCUCUGUAACUUUUUAAUGUGGCACUUUCUAGUCACUUUCCUGUUCUUUAGAAACUCUCUUCAUCUGUCACCAGGAUGUCACAAGGGGAUUUGGCAGCUAUCAGCAAUAAAAGCCUCCUGAAUGAAAAAAGGCAAAACAAGAAAAAAAAGAAAAGAGAAGUAGUGCCACCUUUUAAACUUUUGUUCAUGUUAAUUUUAUUGAUUGUGUCUGUGUCUGUGCACACAUUUGUGCUGUAACACACAUGUUGGUUAGAGGACAGCUUGUAGGAGUUAGUUUUCUUCUACCAUGUGAGUCCUGGAUAUCACACUCAGAUUGUUAGCUUGAUGACAAGACCCAGUGAGCCACUGGGCAUGGUGGCGCAUGCCUUUAAUCCCAGCAUUUGGGAGGCAGCAGCAGCAGGUAGAUUUCUGUGAGUUCAAGACCAGCCUGGUCUAUAGAGCCAGUUCCAGGACACCCAGAGCUGUUACACAGAGGUGCCCUGUCUAGAACCCCCCCUCCCCCAAAAAAAGAAUAAGAGAAAAAGAAAAAGGCCCCGUGAGCCCUCUCACUGGCCCAUGUCUUUUUUAUUUUGGUAGUAACUUUGUGGAAAUAAUCAUGAUUUUUAAAACCCAUUUUUAUCCUCUUUCCAUAGUGUCACUGUUUUGUGUAAAGGAAAAUGCCUACUAUCCCUUGGCCUGUCUCAGAUCUCAGCCCAUGAUUUAGAAGAGUCCUGUGGUGAGACCCACUUGUGGGCAGAACUCAUGGUCUGGAAAAGCUUGUGGGAAGGAUCUGUCACAGCUUUUGAAUAACAUGGGCUAGGGUCAAUUUCUAGAAAACACUGAGACUCUAUUGUCAGAACCAGUGGCUUUCUUGUUUUUGAUUGAAACACAGAUAUUAACUAGACUAAAGGUAAUUAUAAUUUAUUUUACCUAACACCACUCACUGGGCAAGAUGGUGCACACUUUUAAUUCCAGCAUCUGGGAGGGAGAAGCCGGGCUGCUGUCUUUGAGUAGCCUGGUCUACACAGCAAGUUACAGGCCAGCCAGAGCUACAAACUUGAGACCCAGUCUCAAAAACAAAUAUACUAAAUAUAACAACAGAACUUGAUAAUUUGCUAUGUUUUUGUUGCAAAUGUUAUCCUAGGACCCAUCAGCUGACCACAUUGAGACACUGAUGUUAUGACCUAAAGGUCUUAUUCCCUUGACCAGCAGCAUGCUGCUUCUCUGAUUCUGUGGGCCUCUUGUAUGCUCCACCUGACCUGUGUUCUU